CCCUUAGAUGUUCUUGGCCGCACGCGCGCUACAAUGGUCUUCGCAAACGGAUGCAUUCUCGAAGGAGAAUGCCAAUCUUGGAAUCUAUGCCUUGGUCGGGACAGUUGCUUGCAAUUUUUCGACUCGAACCAGGAAUUCCUUGUAAUCGUGAUUCAUCACAUCACGAUGAAUACGUCCCUGCCCUUUGUACACACCGCCCGUCGCUCCUACCGAUCGAAGAGUUAGGUGAAUUGUUUUGAUCGAUAAGAUUUGACUAUGGUCAACUCUCGUUGUGAAAUUCUGUGAAUCUGACUGUUUAGAGGAAGGAAAAGUCGUAACA
RNAcentral lists this ribosomal RNA (319 nucleotides) under uncultured eukaryote. Its description in RNAcentral is "partial 18S ribosomal RNA". It matches the Rfam family "Eukaryotic small subunit ribosomal RNA", at positions 1470 to 1796 of the family's 1831-position model. The record is from RNAcentral.